RNAcentral lists this long non-coding RNA (1109 nucleotides) under Homo sapiens (human). Its description in RNAcentral is "non-protein coding lnc-HSD11B1-4:7". The record is from RNAcentral. Lineage: Eukaryota; Metazoa; Chordata; Mammalia; Primates; Hominidae.
UGAAAGUGUGUGUGUGCCAUGUGGAGGUGUGCGUGUGCAGGUGAAGGUGUGCGUGUGCAGGUGAAGGUGUGCGUGUGCAGGUGGAGGUGUGCGUGUGCAUGUGGAGGGGUGCGUGUGCAUGUGGAGGUGUGUGUGUGCAGGUGGAGGUGUGCGUGUGCAUGUGGAUGUGUGUGUGUGCUCAGGUGGAAGUGUGCGUGUGCAUGUGGAGGUGUGUGUGCAGGUGGAGGUGUGUGUGUGCAGGUGGAAGUGUGCAUGCAUGUGGAAGUGUGCGUGUGCAUAUGGAUGUGUGUGCAUGUGAAGGUUGUGUGCAUGUGGAGGUGUGCGUGCGCAUGUGGAGGUGUGCGUGUUCAUGUGAAGGUGUGUGUGUGCAUGUGAAGGUAUGUGUGUGCAGGUGGAGGUGUGUGUCCCUACGGAGGUGUGCAUCUGCAUGUGAAGGUGUGCGUGUGCAUGUGAAGGUGUGUGUGUGCAUGUGUGUGUGUGCAGGUGGAGGUACGUGUAUGCAGGUGGAGGUGUAUGUGUGCAGUGGAAGUGUACGUGUGCAUGUGGAGGUGUGUGUGCGCAUGUGGUGUGCGUGUGCAUAUGGAGGUGUGCGUGUGCAUGUGAAGGUGUGCAUGUGAAGGUGUGUGUUCAGGUGGAGGUACGUGUGUGCAGGUGGAGGUGUAUGUGUGCAGGUGGAAGUGUACGUGUGCAUGUGGAGGUGUGUGCGCGCAUGUGAAGGUGUGUGUGUAUAUGGAGGUGUGCGUGUGCAUAUGCAGGUGUGCGUGUGCAUGUGAAGGUGUGUGUGUGCAGGUGGAGGUACGUGUGUGCAGGUGGAAGUGUACGUGUGCAUGUGGAGGUGUGUGCGCGCAUGUGAAGGUGUGUGUGUAUAUGGAGGUGUGCGUGUGCAUAUGCAGGUGUGCGUGUGCAUGUGAAGGUGUGUGUGUGCAGGUGGAGGUACGUGUGUGCAGGUGGAAGUGUAUGUGUGCAGGUGGAAGUGUACGUGUGCAUGUGGAGGUGUGUGUGCACAUGUGAAGGUGUGUGUAUAUGGAGGUGUGUGUGUGCAUGUGGAGGUGUGUGUGGCAGGGAGGGGAGUGUAUUAAUCUCCUAGGGCUGCUAUGACAAAGUACCAC